CUGUCCAAUAGCCGCGCGAGCAGCUAUUUUUAUUUCUGCGUUUCUGCUACUGAUAACAGAGGAGAUGAACGGCUGGCAGAAUUUUCUCUGAACUUCCAUGCUCUCCUCUAUGGCAAGACCUUCUAAGCACUCCCUCUCUGAACUCCUUCAAAAGUAGUAAGUAUAUGUGAUUCUAGUAGGAAGAUGAAUUCAGUCAAAAAAGGAUUGAUGCAUGUUUGCUGACUGUAGUUCCUAUGUGAAGCUGCACAUGUUGAGCAAAAACAUGCUUAUGUGCAUGUUCAUAAGCUCCUUGCCUAUAAUUUUUUGAUCUUUAUCUUUCUGAUCUGCACUGGAUUGCCUUGUGGCGUAUUAUUCCUAAUUUCCCUCAUGAGAUUGUAUGAAAUGAAGGAACCGUCUUGGUGGAUGAGUAUUUCAAGUUCAUUUCUCACUAGAGAUACUUUGAUUUUUAUUCUCAAGUUCAGUUCUUGUGGCAUCUUAUCGUCAAGGUAGCUCCUCCCCCUUGUCCCUUUCUCACUCUCAUAAUUUUUUGCAGCUACACACCCUGAUAUUCUACACCUACUCGACUGUUCUUGCAGAUUUUGCCGACCAUCAUUUCUGCAGGGCAAUGUGUAUAUUUUUAGCAGGACAAUGUGUCGAUUGAAGAAAUUUGUGUAUUCAAAAUAUUAAGGCAAUGUUGAUGAAUUAAUUUUUUGUGUUAGAUGAUAGUAGUUCAGCAGGCAACCACGUGCGUGGUGAUGCAGUGUGAAGGCCGUGGAUGGCAUGUUGUGUGCGUGCGUGAUGUCGCUAUUGGUUUCUGCUAUGAGGCGAAAUUAAUUGUUGUUGUUAUUAAGAUUCUAUAAUUUAACAGAAAAAUUAGGAGAGAAAUUAACUUGUUUUGCUACCGUACAUGGGUAGCACUUGG
Molecule: long non-coding RNA, 901 nt
Filed under: Triticum aestivum (bread wheat)
Lineage: Eukaryota; Viridiplantae; Streptophyta; Magnoliopsida; Poales; Poaceae
Description: long non-coding RNA (TAES_LNC013364)
Source: RNAcentral